AGCAGCCGCGGUAAUUCCAGCUCCAAUAGCGUAUAUUAAAGUUGUUGCAGUUAAAAAGCUCGUAGUUGAAUUUCGGGAUCAUCAGGUUGGUCGUGCCUCUGGUAUGUACUGAUUUCGAUGGUUCCUCCUUCUUGAAGAACCGUAAUGCCAUUAAUUUGGUGUUGCGGGGAAACAGGACUGUUACUUUGAAAAAAUUAGAGUGUUUAAAGCAGGCAAUCGCUUGAAUACAUUAGCAUGGAAUAAUGAAAUAGGACGUUCGAUCCUAUUUUGUUGGUUUCUAGGAUUGACGUAAUGAUUAAUAGGGAUAGUUGGGGGCAUUAGUAUUCAAUUGUCAGAGGUGAAAUUCUUGGAUUUAUUGAAGACUAACUACUGCGAAAGCAUUUGCCAAGGAUGUUUUCAUUAAUCAAGAACGAAAGUUAGGGGAUCGAAGACGAUCAGAUACCGUCGUAGUCUUAACCAUGAAUUAUGCCGACUAGGGAUCGGAUGAUGUUAAUUUUUAAUGACUCAUUCGGCGUCCG
Molecule: ribosomal RNA, 518 nt
Filed under: uncultured Glomus
Lineage: Eukaryota; Fungi; Glomeromycota; Glomeromycetes; Glomerales; Glomeraceae
Description: SSU rRNA
Rfam family: Eukaryotic small subunit ribosomal RNA
Source: RNAcentral